Molecule: ribosomal RNA, 457 nt
Filed under: Dendroceratida sp. 2 JV-2020
Lineage: Eukaryota; Metazoa; Porifera; Demospongiae; Dendroceratida
Description: partial large subunit ribosomal RNA
Source: RNAcentral
UGUGGUGCACGCCGAAYGGCGGGGCCUCCCGCGGAGAGCGAGCCGUCCGCUUCGGGGAUCUGCGUGCAGUGCCAGUCGCGUCGGGGAGCACCUCCGAGGUGAGCGUCACGAGUGUACCAGUGCUGCUGGUGUUGGGACGGCCUCGUCCGACCCGUCUUGAAACACGGACCAAGGAGUGCAACAUGUGCGCGAGUCCUCUGGUGAGGAAACCAAAAGGCGCAACGAGAGUGAAGGCACGGUUGCCGUGCCGAGGUGAGAGCCGUCCGUGGGGACGGCGCAUCAUCGACCGAUCCCGUCCGAGCCGCCCUUGCGGUGCGGUGGGAUUCGAGUGAGAGCGUACCUGUUGCGACCCGAAAGAUGGUGAACUAUGCCUGAAUAGGGUGAAGCCAGAGGAAACUCUGGUGGAGGCCCGCAGCGAUUCUGACGUGCAAAUCGAUCGUCAAAUUUGGGUAUAGGG